UUUUAGAGUGAUGAAAUCUCAUGACCAGACUGAGGCUGCAUGUCUCACUCUUUGCCCCAGGCACUGUCCUUCCACCAUCUCUCAUCCGCUCACUCAAGACCUUCACCGGAUAAUGAGGCAAUGUGGGUGGAAGCAGCAACACAGUAGAGAUCCUGAACAUGUUUGUAAAGGACAGAGCAGCCCGCUGGUAUUCUGCCAAACCAGAGCUCCAUGUGCUAUCAGGGUCUGGAGAGAGAAGCCCUUGCUGCACUGAAUGGAAUUGCUGCAAAUUCAUGCUUGUGUGCCCAAGAACAAACCAAAGGAAUGUUUGACUAUGUGUGUCGGUGAUGUAAAAAAAAGAAGGAAUAAGAAAAUGACUAAGAAUGUUCUUUUGUGUAUAUGUUUGUGCUUGUAUUGCAUCUGAUAGAAACCACAGCAAAGUAAGCCUUGCCUUUGGCUUCUGGCUCAAAUGACCGGAUACAGGAUGUGAUAAAGCAUUUGUCUGCUAGUGUUAUACAUUACGCUUGUGAUCACAGAAUCUACUUAUAUAACACAGUGUAGGCAACAAAAGCAUUAGACAGAAGCACCGCAGGCAGUCAUUUUCUCUUUAAACUAG
Cyprinus carpio carpio is the source of this 595-nucleotide long non-coding RNA. Lineage: Eukaryota; Metazoa; Chordata; Actinopteri; Cypriniformes; Cyprinidae. The record is from Ensembl.